RNAcentral lists this ribosomal RNA (460 nucleotides) under uncultured bacterium. RNAcentral describes it as "partial 16S ribosomal RNA". It matches the Rfam family "Bacterial small subunit ribosomal RNA", at positions 338 to 795 of the family's 1533-position model. The record is from RNAcentral.
CCUACGGGAGGCAGCAGUGAGGAAUAUUGGUCAAUGGGCGCGAGCCUGAACCAGCCAAGUAGCGUGAAGGAUGACUGCCCUACGGGUUUUAAACUUCUUUAAUAAAGGAAUAAAGUAAGGCACGUGUGCCUUUUUGUAUGUACUUUAUAAAUAAAGAUGGGCUAAUUCCGUGCCAGCGGCCCCGGUAAUACGGAGGUUCCGAGCGUUAUCCGGAUUUAUUUGGUUUAAAGGGAGCGUAGAUGGGUUGUUAAGUCAGUUGUGAAACUUUGCGGCUCAACGGUACAAUUGCAAUUGAUACUGGCAGUCUUGAGUGCAGUUGAGGUAGGUGGAAUGCGUGGUGUAGCGGUGAAAUGCGUAGAUAUCACGAAGAACACCAAUUGCGAAGGCAGCUUACUAAACUGUAACUGACAUUGAGGCUCGAAAGUGUGGGUAUCAAACAGGAUUAGAUACCCUUGUAGUC